UUGGCUGGCGAGUGGCGGACGGGUGAGUAAAACGUAGGAAUCUGCCUUAGAGCGGGGGAUAACUCGGGGAAACUCGAGCUAAGACCGCAUACCCUCUAUGGAGGAAAUAAGCCCUUUACUGGGUUUAGCUUUAAGAUGAGCCUACGACGGAUUAGCUAGUUGGUGGGGUAAAGGCCUACCAAGGCGAUGAUCCGUAGCUGGUCUGAGAGGGCGACCGGCCACACUGGGACUGAGACACGGCCCAG
This 245-nucleotide ribosomal RNA is filed under the name uncultured bacterium. RNAcentral describes it as "partial 16S ribosomal RNA". It matches the Rfam family "Bacterial small subunit ribosomal RNA", at positions 84 to 334 of the family's 1533-position model. The record is from RNAcentral.